UACUGGGGGGGUAAGCGUUGUUCGGAAUUACUGGGCGUAAAGGGCUCGUAGGCGGCCAACUAAGUCGGACGUGAAAUCCCUCAGCUUAACUGGGGAACUGCGUCCGAUACUGGAUGGCUUGGAUUUGGGAGAGGGAUGCGGAAUUCCAGGUGUAGCGGUGAAAUGCGUAGAUAUCGAGAGGAACACCUGCGGCGAAGGCGGGUAGCUGGGCCGACACUGACGCUGAUGCGCGAAAGCCAGGGGAGCGAACGGG
Molecule: ribosomal RNA, 253 nt
Filed under: uncultured bacterium
Lineage: Bacteria
Description: partial 16S ribosomal RNA
Rfam family: Bacterial small subunit ribosomal RNA
Source: RNAcentral